AAUAUUCCAUCUUUUGUGCAUACCAUAUUUUAUCCAUUCAUCAAUUGAUGGACACUUGGGUUGUUUCCAUCCUUGGGCAUUCGUGAAUAAUUCAGUUCUGAACAUUGGUGUGCAAGUAUCUGUUCGUGUCCCUACUUUGAGAUCUUCUGGAUGUAUACUGAGUAGUGGGAUUGCUGGAUCGUAAGGAAACUCUCUACUUAGCUUUCUGAGGACCCACCAAAACAUCUUCCACAGGCCAGGUUUUUGAUUUCCAACUGACACCAGAGGACAUGAAGGUUUUAGAUGGACUAGACCAAAAUUUUCACUAUGUUAAUUAUGAUUUGAGAGAGAACAGUGAAGAAUAAAAUUGGGAUCUAAUGCAAAAAAGAACAGGAGAUGGAGAAGAAACCAGUAAAUCUUACCAUCAAGUAAUAUUUUGGUCAUAAUAAUUUUUCCAUCACUUUGUAUUACGUAUUGUGAUUACUGUAUAUAGAUUGCCUUCAUGGUAUAGUAAUCUUUUGGGAUAUGUAGCCAUUUCUUUUUCAUUUCAUUUUAUUAAUUUGUGAAUCUUACGCAUGUUGCAUGUGGUGGUCACUUAGUAAAUAAAAUUAAUGAAUUAACAAAAUGAAGGUGAAAUAGCUAUCAACAAGUUGUGUCAUCUUAAAAUAGUUAAUAUUGCUGAGUGUAGAGUUAGACUUCUUGCUCAAAACAGGGCAGAAGGAGUUUCUGCUUUCAGUGAGAAUUCAAAAUUUACAAAACAGGAUAUCUCUUUAUUUUCAGAUGUAGCUAAGGGAGGAGAAUAUUUGAAUACCUGUAGUAGUCUGAUGAUGUAUAUUAAAUUCUGUGCAAAGGAAUAUAAUUUGAUUACCUAAUUAUUUUUAAGCAGGAAGUUUAAUGCAGCAUUCUGUUUAUGACGUUACAAAGGUAGGUUUUAUAAAUAGCCAGAAAAUAAAAUUUAAAAAUUUUACCCUAUUGUCAGCUUCAGAGAAACCAUGUUGAUAUUGCCCUAGAAAUAUAGUCAUUGAAUCCACCUUAUCCUUUGUUCUUUCUCAUUUUAGUGCCAUUGACCACCCUGAGUAUCCAUUUUCUGAAGAAUAUUAGCAGGGAGCCCUUCGCCAUGCCUUCUACCAGGAGCCCCUGUGUGUGCAGAGUGAUGCUGGAAACGUCUCAGAUGCUGGUGAUUACAGACAUCACCUCUGGUUAAAUCCGUGCUGCUUAGUAACUCACACUCAACUAGAGUCAAAUCUAUAGGAAAACAUUAAAUUCUUGUGACUUUGCCAAAAAAUAAAAAUUUAAUUUUACCCAAA
Choloepus didactylus (southern two-toed sloth) is the source of this 1286-nucleotide long non-coding RNA. RefSeq lists it as uncharacterized. The record is from RefSeq and is a predicted model, not a curated record. Lineage: Eukaryota; Metazoa; Chordata; Mammalia; Pilosa; Megalonychidae. The transcript has 3 exons.